CCCAAAAAUCCGUCCACAAAGCAAUCUGCCGCAAGCAAGCAAAAGAGAAUUCUUGGAUGCACUUGCUUACCCAAGUUGGAGCAUUUUAGGUGUUUUCUUUCCUUUGAUUUUAAUGUCUAAUUUUAUGUAUCUUUGCUUUGUGAGUAUGAGGAACUAAACCCCUCUUAGUUAAUGGGUGAUUCAAAACCAUGUUCAUACUUGCAAUAUGAUUUGAUUACAUCCAAUUGUGAUUCAUAAGUUGUGAAUUCAAUUUACUUAUCCGAUCGUGUAAAAAAUGAUUUGUGUAUGUUGGUUGAGAGUGCACGCUUAAUUUUCAUGCAUGAAUUUAACGCUAGAAU
RNAcentral lists this long non-coding RNA (338 nucleotides) under Malus domestica (apple). Its description in RNAcentral is "long non-coding RNA (MDOM_LNC018706)". Lineage: Eukaryota; Viridiplantae; Streptophyta; Magnoliopsida; Rosales; Rosaceae. The record is from RNAcentral.